Molecule: ribosomal RNA, 253 nt
Filed under: uncultured bacterium
Lineage: Bacteria
Description: partial 16S ribosomal RNA
Rfam family: Bacterial small subunit ribosomal RNA
Source: RNAcentral
UACAGGGGUCUCAAGCGUUGUUCGGAUUCAUUGGGCGUAAAGGGUGCGUAGGCGGCGCGGUAAGUCGGGUGUGAAAUCUCGGAGCUUAACUCCGAAACUGCAUUCGAUACUGCCGUGCUUGAGGACUGGAGAGGAGACUGGAAUUUACGGUGUAGCGGUGAAAUGCGUAGAGAUGGGGGAGAACACUCGUGGCGAAGGCGGCCAGCUAGACCAGUUCUGACACUGAGGCGCGACAGCGUGGGGAGCAAACAGG